RNAcentral lists this long non-coding RNA (2644 nucleotides) under Sus scrofa (pig). RNAcentral's name for it is "lncRNA (ENSSSCG00050045394.1)". Lineage: Eukaryota; Metazoa; Chordata; Mammalia; Artiodactyla; Suidae. The record is from RNAcentral.
GCUUAUAUGUACAACUUAUACUAUGGUAAAGUCAUUUCAAUGGCAACUAACAUUAUCUGAAUAAGUAAGAUGUUUUAUAUACUUCCUGUGCUGCCAAAGUUAAAAAACAAGGUCUCCACUCCCAUGCAUAUUUACAGUGAAUGUAUUUUCUGAGCUUAAACUAUACUUCUAGGCACUUUGUUGGGUCCUUGAAACAAGUGCAAAAGACAUUUUCAUAUUUCAGAAUUAUUUAACUGUGAUGGAGGCAUGUCCACCUAACCUUCAAUUGGAAGUGAUUAAUUUGCUUUGUAAUGACAUGCUAAAAGGCAAAUAUCGAGAUGAAUCUAGUGGAAUUCUAUAAAUGCCUUCCAAGCAAUAAAUAUGCACAAAUUAAAAGCAUAUGCUAUGGGUCGAGAUCAGUACUGGCAACACCUAUCUAUGAAAGACAUUUUUAAUACUGAAACGGGGGAAGUCUCACUAUACAUCACCAUUAACAGAUAAACAUUUGCAACUGAUUGUGAUUAUUUGAACCCCAACUUUGCAAAAUGUUAUCCUCUAAGGGCUCCAGUCUUCUCUUCAGCAGACCUGUAUCCCAAAAAACUGCAGUCAAUAUUAUUACUAUCUUUAAAUUUUAUCAAUAUAAAAUUUGUGAAAAUUUGUUUUCUUUCUUGUUAUUUUGAAUUACCUGCACAGUAUCAAUUUUGUCUUUGGCCCACAAAGCCUAAAAUACUUACUCUCAGGCCCUUUUCAGAAAAGUUUGUUAAUUUCUACUCUACAGCACAUAAAAAGAAUGAAGAACUAAAUCCAACAACAUAGAUAAAUUUCACAAACAUAGUAAAGAUCAAAAGAAGCCAGAUCCAAAAAAAAAAAAAAUCUACAAUAUGAGUCUUUAUAAAUUUCAAAAUCAACAUAAACUAUGGAGUUGAGGAAUGCUACUUAGGAGAUAAAGAUGUAAAGAAAAGCAAGGAAAUGAUCACUAUAUAAACCAAAGAAAUCAGAAUAAUGAUUACUUUUAGAGGGCUGUGAUUUCAAUAGAGUGAGUGGGAGCUUAUGGGAUUUCUUGACCCAUGUGGUAUUUACACAGAUGAGUACCUCACAUCAAUUCAUUAAGCUGCACACUGAUUUUCUAUACUCUUUUAUAUGGGGUGUAUUCUACAGUUCAGAGUUAGAAAUAUCUAUGUAUAUAUACAAACAUGUACAUACAUGCAUUAUGCCUGCAACACACACAGUAUGUUCCUGGAAAGAACAAGAACUUGGUGAAUAGUUGUUGCUAAGCAUGGAACUAGAAGUCAGUCUGAGGUGGGGGAAGAGAUUUACUUUCCUCACAUUUAUGACCUUGUGUAGUUUGAAUUUCUUUUAUGAUGUAUACAUAUUAAGUUUUCAAUUGUAAUCCAGUGCUAGGGUUUGGAAACUGAGGCCCUGUUAGGAAAUGUUUGGAUCACGGGGCCCAUAAGCGGCAGAGAUGGGAUAUAUCUGGGACUGUGGCUUCAGACCCAGGGCUCCAUGUAAUUGUAUCACAGUAAAUUUUUGGAUGGAUUGAUCUGAUAAUGAUUACUUCUAAAAAGAUGACAUAACCAAACAUUUGUGUUGUGUUUGUUUGUUUGUUUUUUACAGACUAUAUGGAUCAUGAUCUUCUUAAAAAGAAGCUGCACAAAUCAUCGUGCAGCAUUCAGCCGUCUGUGCUUCUCCUGAGAUGUGCAGCUCUUCUGGGCUUGUCAGUGUGUGACGCUUGAGGAAACAAACUUAUUUUCUUUAAACUCCCCAAAUUUAAUUUUCAGCAAUAAUAAUCAAAUGAAAUAGCUUUAUUCUCUUUGGUGUUUCCCAGAUAGUCUACUUCAGGAGAAAGUUUUCUCAUGUCUCACUUCAACAUUUUGUUAAUAACUGUGAAGAUACGCCGGCUUAUUGAAUCAAACAAAAAUAAAUGUUACCGAAUACUUCUUAGGUGGUUUUGAUUUGCUGUUCAUAGUGCGUUGGCAUUAUCUGCUAAGGUUGAAAACGUGCAUACCCAUGACCCACCAUCUCAUUCUCCAGCAGAAAUACAUGAGCACGGACACCAACAGGCAUGACAAGAAUGCUGCAGCAGUACUAUUCAUGCUGGCCCCCAAAAUGGAAACCCAGGGGUCCGUCUGCAUAGGAAGAGAAAAGUAAACCCUGGUAUAUCAGUACAAUGGCACAUUAAAUCACCACAGAGCCUUAGAUCUGAGAAGUAUAGUCCUGCAGGGUGCUGCCAGAGAGCAAUCUGUCCAUCCUGCCUGUUGACAAGCAUCAGAGUUGAAUGGAUUCUUCCUCAUUUAAAGAUCAGGAAAGAGGGAAAAAACAAAUAAACAAAAGCAUCAACAAAUCAACAUGAGACCCACAGAAAGAACUUACAAAAGAAAAUGGAUGUUACUCUGAAAACAGAAUAAAAGCCUAUCUUAAAAAAUAUCUGAAGUUCCUGUUGUGGCUCAGUGGAAAUGAAUCUGACUAACAUCCAUGAGGAUGCAGGUUCCAUCCCUGGCCUCGCUCAGUGGGUUAAGGAUCCAGUGUUGCCGUGAGCUGUGGUGUAGGUCACAGAUGAGGCUUGGAUCCGGCAUUGCUGUGGCUGUGGGUGUAGGCCGGCAGCUGCAGCUCUGAUUCGACCCCUAGCCUAGGAACCUCGAUAUGCCGCAGGUGUGGCCCUAAGAAA